This 253-nucleotide ribosomal RNA is filed under the name uncultured bacterium. Its description in RNAcentral is "partial 16S ribosomal RNA". It matches the Rfam family "Bacterial small subunit ribosomal RNA", at positions 524 to 776 of the family's 1533-position model. The record is from RNAcentral.
UACGGAGGGUGCAAGCGUUAUCCGGAUUCACUGGGUUUAAAGGGAGCGUAGGUGGCUUUGUAAGUCAGUGGUGAAAUAUUGCGGCUCAACCGCAAAACUGCCAUUGAUACUGCUUAGCUUGAAUCACGUCGAGGUGGAUGGAAUAUUACAUGUAGCGGUGAAAUGCUUAGAUAUGUAAUAGAACACCGAUUGCGAAGGCAGUUCACUAGGCGUGUAUUGACACUGAGGCUCGAAAGCGUGGGGAUCAAACAGG